RNAcentral lists this ribosomal RNA (253 nucleotides) under uncultured bacterium. Its description in RNAcentral is "partial 16S ribosomal RNA". It matches the Rfam family "Bacterial small subunit ribosomal RNA", at positions 524 to 776 of the family's 1533-position model. The record is from RNAcentral.
UACGGGGGGGGCAAGCGUUGUUCGGAAUUACUGGGCGUAAAGGGCUCGUAGGCGGCCAACUAAGUCAGACGUGAAAUCCCUCGGCUUAACCGGGGAACUGCAUCUGAUACUGGAUGGCUUGAGGUUGGGAGAGGGAUGCGGAAUUCCAGGUGUAGCGGUGAAAUGCGUAGAUAUCUGGAGGAACACCGGUGGCGAAGGCGGCAUCCUGGACCGACACUGACGCUGAGGAGCGAAAGCCAGGGGAGCAAACGGG